Scatophagus argus is the source of this 1018-nucleotide long non-coding RNA. RefSeq lists it as uncharacterized. The transcript is spliced from 3 exons. Lineage: Eukaryota; Metazoa; Chordata; Actinopteri; Scatophagidae. The record is from RefSeq and is a predicted model, not a curated record.
UUACUAAACAAAGUAGUAAUGAUAUUCAUGUAGUAUUUUAACUUUCAUACAUGUACUACAUUUACUACUGCUGCAGUGAGGAGAAACUGGAUCCCCACCCUAUUCAACUCUCAAUAAUCCACCAAUCAGAACCAAAAGAAGAGUCAGUGGAAGGUUGGACAGCUCAAGUUUUCUCUUUGUUUGUCUCUAGUUUGUUUGUCUGCCUAGCAAAAACAUGAAGAUGAAUGUUUACUGACAUGAGAGCAACAUGACAGGCUGCAUACAACAUGUGAGGAUGACGAUGAUGAUGAUGAUGGAAGAUGGAUCAGACAACAGCGACAUCGCUAAACAACAACUAACAUAACACACACAAUACAACAGCACACAAUAAGUUGACAUCAUACAUGAAUGUGUAGUUUACCUGUGCAGUUUGUUGAGAUGUGUUAGCGAUGAAGAUUAAAAAAUACAGUCCAUUAAAGUGGUUUUUGUUGGUUUUAUUGUCUCUGUGUCUCCUCCAGGCUGUUGUUUGGAUGGAUUAGUGAUCUGUACACAUGAGGCCCCGCCCACAAAGAUUAACACACACACGCAAGCACAUACACGCACGCACACACACUCACACACACACACAGCUGUUGAUCAGUGGGUGGGGGCGGGGCUCACAGCUGUUUAGAGCCACUCAGUCAUGAUGGGCUCCUUGCGGAGCAUUGUGGGAUUUGUAGUGUUUGUCAUCAUCAGACAGGACUGUAAUUGCAAGACCUGCUAAUUCUGUUUGAAUGUAAGCUAAUCAAGAUAUCAUCUCCUGUCUGCCCCUGACAGGACGAUACCUGAUGAGCUGUUACAAGGUCUCAUUGUCCUGAUGGCUUUAACUGACUCUGUCCUGCUAUUGGUUCACUAACACGCCCACAUGUUGGUUUUAGCAUGUAAGCAUCAUCAGAUUAGCAACAACAUUCUUCACACCAUUCCCUUUAAAGUAGAAGUAGAAGGAGCAGUCAGAUGACAGGAACUCAUUGUGUUUGUGAUUGUACAACAACAGCUAAAC